GCGGGCGUAGUUUAAUGGUAGAACAUGAGCUUCCCAAGCUCAGAGCGCGGGUUCGAUUCCCGUCGCCCGCU
Molecule: transfer RNA, 71 nt
Organism: Streptomyces sp. CNQ-509
Lineage: Bacteria; Bacillati; Actinomycetota; Actinomycetes; Kitasatosporales; Streptomycetaceae
Rfam family: tRNA
About the family: Transfer RNA (tRNA) molecules are approximately 80 nucleotides in length.
Source: Rfam